This 313-nucleotide long non-coding RNA is filed under the name Phaseolus vulgaris (common bean). RNAcentral's name for it is "long non-coding RNA (PVUL_LNC003222)". The record is from RNAcentral. Lineage: Eukaryota; Viridiplantae; Streptophyta; Magnoliopsida; Fabales; Fabaceae.
CACCUCCACCUCCCCCACAAGGGCUACCUCCUGGUGCACCUAUGGCAAAUCCUCCUAGAGCUCCUCCACCUCCAAUGCCAGGAUCUAUGCCACCUCCUCCUCCUAUGGCAGCAGCUAACGGUCCUAGGCCUGCACCUUCCAGUGGAAUGCCAUCUGUCCCACCCCCACCCCCUAUUGCAAGUGGAGCAUCGGGUUUCAACAUGGGUACUAGACCUCCAUCAAUGCCUCCUCCACAAGGUUUUCCUGCCCAACCAAUGCAGAGUCAGGGUGUCCGUCUUCCUCCGCCACCCCCUAACAUGGGACAGUAGGUUCU